UUUCACUAAGGAUAUGUUUUUUUCACAUAAGAAAUUUCCUGUGAAGAACAGAAUGGACUCAAACUCAUCACACUUGAUGAGUUAUGAACGGACAAAUAUUAAAAAAAAA
This 109-nucleotide non-coding RNA is filed under the name unclassified sequences. RNAcentral's name for it is "gltS RNA". It matches the Rfam family "gltS RNA". The record is from RNAcentral.